This 1449-nucleotide ribosomal RNA is filed under the name uncultured organism. RNAcentral describes it as "SSU rRNA". It matches the Rfam family "Bacterial small subunit ribosomal RNA". The record is from RNAcentral.
GAACGCUAGCUACAGGCUUAACACAUGCAAGUCGAGGGGCAGCAUUUUAGUUUGCUUGCAAACUGAAGAUGGCGACCGGCGCACGGGUGAGUAACACGUAUCCAACCUGCCGAUAACUCCGGAAUAGCCUUUCGAAAGAAAGAUUAAUACCGGAUAGCAUACGAAUAUCGCAUGAUAUUUUUAUUAAAGAAUUUCGGUUAUCGAUGGGGAUGCGUUCCAUUAGUUUGUUGGCGGGGUAACGGCCCACCAAGACAACGAUGGAUAGGGGUUCUGAGAGGAAGGUCCCCCACAUUGGAACUGAGACACGGUCCAAACUCCUACGGGAGGCAGCAGUGAGGAAUAUUGGUCAAUGGGCGAGAGCCUGAACCAGCCAAGUAGCGUGAAGGAUGAAGGCUCUAUGGGUCGUAAACUUCUUUUAUAUGGGAAUAAAGUUUUCCACGUGUGGAAUUUUGUAUGUACCAUAUGAAUAAGGAUCGGCUAACUCCGUGCCAGCAGCCGCGGUAAUACGGAGGAUCCGAGCGUUAUCCGGAUUUAUUGGGUUUAAAGGGAGCGUAGGUGGAUUGUUAAGUCAGUUGUGAAAGUUUGCGGCUCAACCGUAAAAUUGCAGUUGAAACUGGCAGUCUUGAGUACAGUAGAGGUGGGCGGAAUUCGUGGUGUAGCGGUGAAAUGCUUAGAUAUCACGAAGAACUCCGAUUGCGAAGGCAGCUCACUAGACUGUCACUGACACUGAUGCUCGAAAGUGUGGGUAUCAAACAGGAUUAGAUACCCUGGUAGUCCACACAGUAAACGAUGAAUACUCGCUGUUUGCGAUAUACAGUAAGCGGCCAAGCGAAAGCAUUAAGUAUUCCACCUGGGGAGUACGCCGGCAACGGUGAAACUCAAAGGAAUUGACGGGGGCCCGCACAAGCGGAGGAACAUGUGGUUUAAUUCGAUGAUACGCGAGGAACCUUACCCGGGCUUAAAUUGCAACAGAAUAUAUUGGAAACAGUAUAGCCGUAAGGCUGUUGUGAAGGUGCUGCAUGGUUGUCGUCAGCUCGUGCCGUGAGGUGUCGGCUUAAGUGCCAUAACGAGCGCAACCCUUAUCUUUAGUUACUAACAGGUGAUGCUGAGGACUCUAGAGAGACUGCCGUCGUAAGAUGUGAGGAAGGUGGGGAUGACGUCAAAUCAGCACGGCCCUUACGUCCGGGGCUACACACGUGUUACAAUGGGGGGUACAGAAGGCGGCUACCUGGUGACAGGAUGCUAAUCCCAAAAACCUCUCUCAGUUCGGAUCGAAGUCUGCAACCCGACUUCGUGAAGCUGGAUUCGCUAGUAAUCGCGCAUCAGCCAUGGCGCGGUGAAUACGUUCCCGGGCCUUGUACACACCGCCCGUCAAGCCAUGAAAGCCGGGGGUACCUGAAGUACGUAACCGCAAGGAGCGUCCUAGGGUAAAACUGGUAAUUGGGGCUA